AGGGCUUGCUCUUUGGCCUUUGCAAUCUGAUCAUCCAUGUCUGAUAAAAGCUCAGAGAGAUCUACUUUCCCUAGAAUUCCAUUAAAAAAUAAAUGUUACUCAUUUUUAAACUAUAUAGUGAUUAUUUGGUUAGGAAAUAUGUUAUUAAUCUGAUCAAUAACCGUAAGAUCAAUAUCGACAAAAGAAAAAAGAAGAACAAGAAAUAAGUCUAGGUUAUGAAAAAGAAAAUAAAAGAAAAUAAAGAAAGAAAAGAGGGGGGCAAAAAAAAGGGAGGAUCGUACCUGGGUCUCUCGCGCCUCCUUCUCGGUCAAGUGGUCGGAUCGGGGUAAGGGAGGUCCCCGGAGACUAAAACUCACUCCGGCAUCACUUCGGAGGAGGUUUAGCCCCUCCCUCUCCCACUGCUCCCACCCUGGAGAAGGGCACCCCUCGCCCGCAGUCG
Molecule: long non-coding RNA, 439 nt
Filed under: Phoenix dactylifera (date palm)
Lineage: Eukaryota; Viridiplantae; Streptophyta; Magnoliopsida; Arecales; Arecaceae
Description: long non-coding RNA (PDAC_LNC000151)
Source: RNAcentral